Non-coding RNA from Cicer arietinum (chickpea), 902 nucleotides. NCBI's taxonomy places the organism in Eukaryota, Viridiplantae, Streptophyta, Magnoliopsida, Fabales, Fabaceae. The record is from RefSeq and is a predicted model, not a curated record.
CAAUGCAUUUAAACUUAGUACGUGUUUAUGCAUUCGAGAAAUAAUCAAAUGUUUCAUGUUUGAAUGUCUAGAUGCACACUACCAAAAAUGCGAUUUUUGUUUUUUUGUAGCACCAGUAGAAAAGUAACACCAUUUUUGUGUGAAGCCCAGCUAUCUUAUAUGCAAAUAAUUUAGCCCAUGUUGAUAAGAAUGUGCUCGGACUAUGGUUACAAAUGCUCUUCCUUCGUUUGGUUUCAAAACCAGAAAAUUAAAUUUGGAUGCCGAGGAUAGGGGCAAGUACAUUCAAGAUUUGCAUGCUCGAUUGAAGAUCAAUAUUGAAAAGAAGGUUGAACACUAUGUCAAAAGUCCCAACAAGACAAAAAAAAAAAGAAAAAAGAAUGGUGUUUGAACCCAAUGAUUGAGUUUAGGUACACUUUAGGAAGGAAAUAUUUAUUUCCUUCUCUUAGGAAGUCCAAACUUCAACAAAGAGGUGAUGUUCAUUUUCAAGAGGUGAAGCGCAUUAAUGGCAAUGCAUAUAAGCUUGAUCUUCAUGGUGAGUAUAAUGUACGUGCUACUUUUAAUGUUAACAGCUUAUCUUCUAUUGUAGGUGAUGAGUCAUUAAAUUCGAGAACGAAUUCUCUUAAAGAUGAAAAGUAUAAUAAGGAUCAAAGAACAAACUAUAAUAGUCAAAAAAUGGAUAUCAAAAGGGUUUGUGGUCCGAUGACAAGGGCUAUAAUGGAUAAAUUAAGAGAAAAUCUUGAAGAACAAAUUUCUUUAUAUUUGGACGCCAAGAUCAUUUCACACUACCUUACUCUUGUUUUACUGAAUUUUAAUUUGUAAUAAUAUUUAGUUUUAAGUUUAGGUUGUUUGUAUUUUGAAGUUGUAUGUUUUUCUAUGUUUACUAGUCUUGCUAUUGAGUUUUU